This 537-nucleotide ribosomal RNA is filed under the name Diaporthe eres. RNAcentral's name for it is "eukaryotic LSU rRNA". The stretch from base 193 to 346 matches the Rfam family "5.8S ribosomal RNA". The record is from RNAcentral. Lineage: Eukaryota; Fungi; Ascomycota; Sordariomycetes; Diaporthales; Diaporthaceae.
GCGGAGGGAUCAUUGCUGGAACGCGCCCCAGGCGCACCCAGAAACCCUUUGUGAACUUAUACCUUACUGUUGCCUCGGCUCUACGUGGUCCUUCGGGGCCCCUCACCCUCGGGUGUUGAGACAGCCCGCCGGCGGCCAACCUAACUCUUGUUUUUACACUGAAACUCUGAGAAUAAAACAUAAAUGAAUCAAAACUUUCAACAACGGAUCUCUUGGUUCUGGCAUCGAUGAAGAACGCAGCGAAAUGCGAUAAGUAAUGUGAAUUGCAGAAUUCAGUGAAUCAUCGAAUCUUUGAACGCACAUUGCGCCCUCUGGUAUUCCGGAGGGCAUGCCUGUUCGAGCGUCAUUUCAACCCUCAAGCCUGGCUUGGUGAUGGGGCACUGCUUUUACCCAAGAGCAGGCCCUGAAAUUCAGUGGCGAGCUCGCCAGGACCCCGAGCGCAGUAGUUAAACCCUCGCUCUGGAAGGCCCUGGCGGUGCCCUGCCGUUAAACCCCCAACUUCUGAAAAUUUGACCUCGGAUCAGGUAGGAAUACCCG